UCUCCGUUGGUGAACCAGCGGAGGGAUCAUUACCGAGUGCAAACUCAUAACCCUUUGUGAACCUAUAUCUGUUGCUUCGGCGGCUCGCUCUCGGGCGAGCCCGCCGGUAAUAUCAGUAUCUCUGUUUGAACCCGACGAUACUUCUGAGUGUUCUUAGCGAACAGUUAAAACUUUUAACAACGGAUCUCUUGGCUCUAGCAUCGAUAAGAACGCAGC
Molecule: unclassified non-coding RNA, 216 nt
Filed under: plant metagenome
Description: partial contains small subunit ribosomal RNA, internal transcribed spacer 1, and 5.8S ribosomal RNA
Source: RNAcentral